Molecule: ribosomal RNA, 250 nt
Filed under: uncultured bacterium
Lineage: Bacteria
Description: partial 16S ribosomal RNA
Rfam family: Bacterial small subunit ribosomal RNA
Source: RNAcentral
CACGUACUGCGCGAACGUUAUUCGGAAUCACUGGGCUUAAAGGGUGCGUAGGCGGUUUUUCAAGUCAGAUGUGAAAUCUCCCGGCUCAACCGGGAAACUGCAUUUGAAACUGAUUAACUUGAGUAAACUAGGGGUGUGCGGAACUGCCAGUGGAGCGGUGAAAUGCGUUGAGAUUGGCAGGAACGCCGGUGGCGAAAGCGGCACACUGGGGUUUUACUGACGCUGAGGCACGAAAGCCAGGGUAGCGAAC